GUGUCAGCAGCCGCGGUAAUACGGGGGGUCCAAGCGUUGUUCGGAAUCACUGGGCGUAAAGCGCAUGUAGGUGGCUUUUCAAGUCAACUGUGAAAGCCCAGGGCCUAACCCUGGAAGUGCAGUUGAUACUGUUGAGCUUGAGUACGAGAGAGGAUAGUGGAAUUCCAGGUGUAGUGGUGAAAUACGUAGAUAUCUGGAGGAACAUCGGUGGCGAAGGCGGCUAUCUGGCUCGAUACUGACACUGAGAUGCGAAAGCGUGGGGAUCAAACAGGAUUAGAUACCCUGGUAGUCC
This 292-nucleotide ribosomal RNA is filed under the name uncultured bacterium. Its description in RNAcentral is "partial 16S ribosomal RNA". It matches the Rfam family "Bacterial small subunit ribosomal RNA", at positions 505 to 796 of the family's 1533-position model. The record is from RNAcentral.